RNAcentral lists this transfer RNA (73 nucleotides) under Mustela putorius furo (domestic ferret). It matches the Rfam family "tRNA". From Rfam's summary of the family: Transfer RNA (tRNA) molecules are approximately 80 nucleotides in length. Lineage: Eukaryota; Metazoa; Chordata; Mammalia; Carnivora; Mustelidae. The record is from Rfam by way of RNAcentral.
GCCCGGCUGGCUCAUUUGGUAGAGCGUGUGACUCUUGAUCUCAGGGUUGUGAGUUCAAGCCCUGCUUUGGGUG